GCGUCGUAGUCCGGAUCGGAGUCUGCAACUCGACUCCGUGAAGUCGGAAUCGCUAGUAAUCGUGGAUCAGAAUGCCACGGUGAAUACGUUCCCGGGCCUUGUACACACCGCCCGUCACACCAUGGGAGUGGGUUGCAAAAGAAGUAGGUAGCUUAACCUUCGGGAGGGCGCUUACCACUUUGUGAUUCAUGACUGGGGUGAAGUCGUAACAAGGUAACCGUAGGGGAACCUGCGGUUGGAUCACCUCCUUACCUUAAAGA
RNAcentral lists this ribosomal RNA (260 nucleotides) under Cedecea colo. Its description in RNAcentral is "partial 16S ribosomal RNA". It matches the Rfam family "Bacterial small subunit ribosomal RNA", at positions 1283 to 1533 of the family's 1533-position model. The record is from RNAcentral. Lineage: Bacteria; Pseudomonadati; Pseudomonadota; Gammaproteobacteria; Enterobacterales; Enterobacteriaceae.